UGGGGAAUAUUGCACAAUGGGGGGAACCCUGAUGCAGCGACGCCGCGUGAGUGAUGAAGUAUUUCGGUAUGUAAAGCUCUAUCAGCAGGGAAGAAAAUGACGGUACCUGACUAAGAAGCCCCGGCUAACUACGUGCCAGCAGCCGCGGUAAUACGUAGGGGGCAAGCGUUAUCCGGAAUUACUGGGUGUAAAGGGUGCGUAGGUGGUAUGGCAAGUCAGAAGUGAAAACCCAGGGCUUAACUCUGGGACUGCUUUUGAAACUGUCAGACUAGAGUGCAGGAGAGGUAAGCGGAAUUCCUAGUGUAGCGGUGAAAUGCGUAGAUAUUAGGAGGAACACCAGUGGCGAAGGCGGCUUACUGGACGAUAACUGACGCUGAGGCUCGAAAGUGUGGGUAGCAAACAGGAUUAGAUACCCUGGUAGUCCACACCGUAAACGAUGAUUACUAGGUGUUGGGAGAUUGACCCUCUCAGUGCCGCAGUUAACACAAUAAGUAAUCCACCUGGGGAGUACGACCGCAAGGUUGAAACUCAAAGGAAUUGACGGGGGCCCGCACAAGCAGUGGAGUAUGUGGUUUAAUUCGACGCAACGCGAAGAACCUUACCAAGUCUUGACAUCCCUUGACGAUGCUGGAAACAGUAUUUCUCUUCGGAGCAAGGAGACAGGUGGUGCAUGGUUGUCGUCAGCUCGUGUCGUGAGAUGUUGGGUUAAGUCCCGCAACGAGCGCAACCCUUAUCUUUAGUAGCCAGCGGUUUAGCCGGGCACUCUAGAGAGACUGCCAGGGAUAACCUGGAGGAAGGCGGGGAUGACGUCAAAUCAUCAUGCCCCUUAUGACUUGGGCUACACACGUGCUACAAUGGCGUAAACAAAGGGAAGCAAAGCUGUGAAGCCGAGCAAAUCUCAAAAAUAACGUCUCAGUUCGGACUGUAGUCUGCAACCCGACUACACGAAGCUGGAAUCGCUAGUAAUCGCAGAUCAGAAUGCUGCGGUGAAUACGUUCCC
Molecule: ribosomal RNA, 1000 nt
Filed under: uncultured bacterium
Lineage: Bacteria
Description: bacterial SSU rRNA
Rfam family: Bacterial small subunit ribosomal RNA
Source: RNAcentral